This 440-nucleotide long non-coding RNA is filed under the name Capra hircus (goat). Its description in RNAcentral is "lncRNA (ENSCHIG00000002673.1)". Lineage: Eukaryota; Metazoa; Chordata; Mammalia; Artiodactyla; Bovidae. The record is from RNAcentral.
AUGACUCCAUUGUGCCUCCUGGAGCGGGCAGCACAGACGCGUGACCCGGCUCUGGGCGCCUGGGCUCCAGCUGCUGUGACCUGCAGCCUAAUGGGCCCUCGAGGUACAGCCAAGUUCGGGCCAGGCCCAGUAAAAUAUCCCAUUCAAUCCCACUGCCUCACAGGAGUAAUGAAGACAACUUGUCUACUAGCCAAAGACACUUUCCUUGUCAUCACAGGACUGGCCUCCCCACUUCCAGGGGAGGGAGGAGCGAAACACUGGACCCAGAGCAGAUUCUGCGGCAAAUCCCUGGGCGGAAGGAUCCAGCUUUGUUUUGCUGUUAGUCUGAGAAGAGCAAACAGGACACACUCAUAAAGACAGAAAUAACACACACUGGAAAGGGCACGAGGGGCAGGAGGAGGGAGCUGCGAGAAAAGUGAGACAAAUCAAAAUUAUGCAAG